CCUACGGGAGGCAGCAGUGGGGAAUAUUGCACAAUGGGGGAAACCCUGAUGCAGCGACGCCGCGUGAGUGAAGAAGUAUUUCGGUAUGUAAAGCUCUGUCAGCAGGGAAGAAAAUGACGGUACCUGACCAAGAAGCCCCCGCUAACUACGUGCCAGCAGCCGCGGUCAUAAGUAGGGGGCAAGCGGUAUCCGGAUUUACUGGGGGUAAAGGGAGCGUAGACGGCAGGGCAAGUCUGGAGUGAAAGGCGGGGGCUUAACCCCCGGACUGCUCUGGAAACUGCCAGGCUGGAGUGCAGGAGAGGUAAGUGGAAUUCCUAGUGUAGCGGUGAAAUGCGUAGAUAUUAGGAGGAACACCAGUGGCGAAGGCGGCUUACUGGACUGUAACUGACGUUGAGGCUCGAAAGCGUGGGGAGCAAACAGGAUUAGAUACCCUUGUAGUC
RNAcentral lists this ribosomal RNA (440 nucleotides) under uncultured bacterium. RNAcentral's name for it is "partial 16S ribosomal RNA". It matches the Rfam family "Bacterial small subunit ribosomal RNA", at positions 338 to 795 of the family's 1533-position model. The record is from RNAcentral.